GACGAACGCUGGCGGCGUGCCUAAUACAUGCAAGUCGAACGCACUGACGUCGACCGAAGCUGCUUGCAGUGGACGUUGAUUGACGUGAGUGGCGGACGGGUGAGUAACACGUGGGUAACCUACCCUUAAGUGGGGGAUAACAUUUGGAAACAGAUGCUAAUACCGCAUAACCAUUCAGACCACAUGGUCUGAAUGUAAAAGACGGCCUUUGGCUGUCACUUUUGGACGGACCCGCGGCGUAUUAGUUAGUUGGUAAGGUAACGGCUUACCAAGACAAUGAUACGUAGCCGACCUGAGAGGGUAAUCGGCCACAUUGGGACUGAGACACGGCCCAAACUCCUACGGGAGGCAGCAGUAGGGAAUCUUCCACAAUGGACGAAAGUCUGAUGGAGCAACGCCGCGUGAGUGAAGAAGGUUUUAGGAUCGUAAAACUCUGUUGUUGGAGAAGAACAGGGACUAGAGUAACUGUUAGUCCUUUGACGGUAUCCAACCAGAAAGCCACGGCUAACUACGUGCCAGCAGCCGCGGUAAUACGUAGGUGGCAAGCGUUGUCCGGAUUUAUUGGGCGUAAAGCGAGCGCAGGCGGUUUUUUAAGUCUGAUGUGAAAGCCUUCGGCUUAACCGAAGAAGUGCAUUAGAACUGGGAAACUUGAGUGCAGAAGAGGACAGUGGAACUCCAUGUGUAGCGGUGAAAUGCGUAGAUAUAUGGAAGAACACCAGUGGCGAAGGCGGCUGUCUGGUCUGUAACUGACGCUGAGGCUCGAAAGUAUGGGGAGCGAACAGGAUUAGAUACCCUGGUAGUCCAUACCGUAAACGAUGAAUGCUAAGUGUUGGAGGGUUUCCGCCCUUCAGUGCUGCAGCUAACGCAUUAAGCAUUCCGCCUGGGGAGUACGACCGCAAGGUUGAAACUCAAAGGAAUUGACGGGGGCCCGCACAAGCGGUGGAGCAUGUGGUUUAAUUCGAAGCAACGCGAAGAACCUUACCAGGUCUUGACAUCCUUUGACCACUGUAGAGAUACAGCUUUCCCUUCGGGGACAAAGUGACAGGUGGUGCAUGGUUGUCGUCAGCUCGUGUCGUGAGAUGUUGGGUUAAGUCCCGCAACGAGCGCAACCCUUAUGACUAGUUGCCAGCAUUUAGUUGGGCACUCUAGUAAGACUGCCGGUGACAAACCGGAGGAAGGUGGGGAUGACGUCAAAUCAGCAUGCCCCUUAUGACCUGGGCUACACACGUGCUACAAUGGUCGGUACAACGAGUUGCGAACCCGCGAGGGUAAGCUAAUCUCUUAAAGCCGAUCUCAGUUCGGAUUGUAGGCUGCAACUCGCCUACAUGAAGCCGGAAUCGCUAGUAAUCGCGGAUCAGCACGCCGCGGUGAAUACGUUCCCGGGCCUUGUACACACCGCCCGUCACACCAUGAGAGUUUGUAACACCCGAAGUCGGUGGGGUAACCCUUUUAGGGAACUAGCCGCCUAAGGUGGGACAGAUGAUUGGGGUG
RNAcentral lists this ribosomal RNA (1491 nucleotides) under Loigolactobacillus coryniformis. RNAcentral's name for it is "bacterial SSU rRNA". It matches the Rfam family "Bacterial small subunit ribosomal RNA". The record is from RNAcentral. Lineage: Bacteria; Bacillati; Bacillota; Bacilli; Lactobacillales; Lactobacillaceae.